Helianthus annuus (common sunflower) is the source of this 626-nucleotide long non-coding RNA. RefSeq lists it as uncharacterized. The transcript is spliced from 3 exons. Lineage: Eukaryota; Viridiplantae; Streptophyta; Magnoliopsida; Asterales; Asteraceae. The record is from RefSeq and is a predicted model, not a curated record.
GCUUAUUAACAUGUUUAACGGGCUUGAUGAUCUGUCGUUCACUGUCAUGAGACUUCCCGUUGUUUACAAACAACGCGACCUCAUGUUCCACCCUCCAUGGGCUUUCACGUUACCGGCUUUCUUGCUUCGAAUUCCCAUGUCUAUGAUCGAAAGUAUUUUGUGAACCGUUCUUCUAUACUGGGGUGUCGAUCUUGCCCCUGAUGCUGGCAGGUUCUUCAAGCAUCUCUUGUUGGUUUUCCUAAUCCAGAACGUGGCAGCGGGACUGUUUAGGCUGAUUGCAGGCGUUUGUAAGACGAUGAAUAUUGCUAACACGGGUGGAUCCGUUGUACUUUUACUUAUAUUUUUGUUUGGCGGUUUCAUUCUACCAAAAACGCAAAUUCCAAACCGGUGGGAAUGGGCGUAUUGGCUAUCACCGUUGUUGUACAUCUUCAAAGCCAUCACCAUCAAUGAGUUCCUUGACUCUAUUUGAUUUCUUUUAUUAUAUGUUAUUUGAUUUCUUUAUCUUCUCUCCAUUUUGCAGGUGAUAAUUCCUUUUGGUGAUAUAGAUGAGAUACGAGGGAGCCAACAUGCGGUCAUUAAUCCUGCUGUAACAAUAUUUCUUCGACUGGGUGCUGGUGGACAUGGUG